GCCGCACCUCGCCGCGGCCCCGCCCCCGCCGCCGCGGCGGCGGCGCCCCGCGAUCCCUGCGGCCCCGGCACCGUCAUCGAUCUCUAUCUCUCUCUCCCUCACUAGAGAUAGAGGAGGAGAGUGAGGAGCGAGAAAGGUGGUGGAAUUGCGUCGCCACCCUCUAAGAUGCUGUUUUAGAGAGAGAAGGGGUGGUGGGUGUGUGAAAUGGAGGAGGUGUCCUUUUUGGGACAAUUAAAACUUUUAAAAGAAAAAUUAGUCGUGACAAGAGAGCUCUCGACAACAACUACUGCAAAGCGUUUCUGGGACCGAGAACAACCGUGAUGUUUACGCAUACUAGAUUCUUUAGCACAAUAAACAUAAUUGCUUAUCUGGGUAGUUAUUAUGAUAAGAAUUUGUAUAGAAUUAAGUAGGAUAAUUAAAAAAUUUAAACUAGAAAGCCUGAGAAAGAAAAAUUGGAGUUCUAGUGCAGGGAAGAAGAGUGAGAGCCUACGGCUCUGAAAGAAUGGAGUUUUUUUUGGUGGAUUUGGUUCACCACCUCAUUCGUAGGCCGCUGGAGAAUUAUAAUUAGCCUAGUUGAAAGUGCAGGUCCUUUACAAAACAAUAUAUAUGCGUUGUAUUUACAAAUUUUAUCCAUUUAGAUAUCAAAUGGUAGAUUAUACCUAAUGUGUAUAAUUAAAAAAAAUUAUUUUAUCAAAAUGCUGGUAAGUUUAUUUCUUAUUUAAAUUAUUUUAGUUGAAACUAUAGUUAAUUUAAAUAUAAUUCUAAUCGAGCUUUUUCGAGUAUAUUCAAUUAUAUAAAUUUAGACGCGCCACCGUGAUCACACCAAUCAUAACUUAUUUGUAGUAUGCACAAUUAAAUAGUUUUUUAUACCAUUUACUAUUAUUGUUGGCUGUGAAAUAGAGAGCAGCUAGCUAGUAUUCCAUAGUAUUAUUUUUAUAUAUUUUGAUAUAUUUGCAAAUAUAUUUAACUUUUUAGUUGCACCUUACCAUAUUAUAGAUGCCCAUGCAUUAAUAAUAUAAUAGAAAAACUACAGUAGAAAAUUCAAAACAUUUCACGUGGACAGGAUACAAAUUGUUAGAUCAAAUGUGGAAAAGAUCUAAUUUGUCGCAUACAAAAAUACCAAAAGAGAAUCGAAAAAAAAAAAUAAAGCAUACAAAUAUUUAUGUGGUUCGGUCACUAUUCUAUAUCCACGGGUGAAGACGUAGCGGAAAUUUUCAUUAUAAUUAAAAUGGCAUAUAAAAUGUAUUUCCCUCACAAAACUCUAGACUCCCAUACUUACUCUUAUCUACCACACCAAAUUAGUAAAGGUAUAUUUAUAAUAAUAGCUAAAUCCUAAUACAACUAUAAAUACAAACCCACUAAAAUUAAAAAUAAUUUUAAUAAAAUUAAACAUAAUUUAAAUUUAAUUUAAUAAAAUAAUUAAAAUAAAUAGGAUUAGAAAAUCUUGUAAUUUCAGAAUUCAAGAUAUAUCUAACACCGAGAUUGCGGAGUGGUUCAGGCAAAAUUUCUCACCAUGCGGCGCGCAUCGCGAGGCGCAACAGUAGCUACCGCGCUGCAACCGUAGGAUGGGACGCGGUGAAGAUAACCUUACAAUUACCAUCCGUGACUCCGAGUCCACCGGGACACGAAUAAAAUAGAAAAAAAAUAGUGUGCUAUUGGGCAAGGGAGAAAUUUUUUGGCUGCACCCGGUGCAUGAACGCAUGCCAAAACACUGUACCUAACCAUCCAUUAAACUGUUGUACAAAAAAAGUGUUUUACUUUCAAGGUAUAUCACCUCAAAUUUACGCUUCUUAUAUGUAAACAUUUGCUAAAUUAGGGCUAUCAAAGAGUAGCGUGCACAAGUAAAAAAUUCACCUUAUGUAUGGCUUAUUUAUUAAUGACUCGAAUACAAACUGGUUUACGAAUAAUAAGCUAGAUUGUUAAUUCUACUAUUUGAUAAGAAGUUGAAAAAAAAUUAGAAAAAUUAGAAUCUUAAUGUAAUAAUUGAAAUUCACACAAUAUAGUUCUCUUUAUAUUUUAGCCGGCCUAAAAUUUGUAUANCCGCCCCCGCCCCCGCCGCACCUCGCCGCGGCCCCGCCCCCGCCGCCGCGGCGGCGGCGCCCCGCGAUCCCUGCGGCCCCGGCACCGUCAUCGAUCUCUAUCUCUCUCUCUCCCUCACUAGAGAUAGAGGAGGAGAGUGAGGAGCGAGAAAGGUGGUGGAAUUGCGUCGCCACCCUCUAAGAUGCUGUUUUAGAGAGAGAAGGGGUGGUGGGUGUGUGAAAUGGAGGAGGUGUCCUUUUGGGACAAUUAAAACUUUUAAAAGAAAAAUUAGUC
RNAcentral lists this long non-coding RNA (2313 nucleotides) under Ananas comosus (pineapple). RNAcentral's name for it is "long non-coding RNA (ACOM_LNC019170)". Lineage: Eukaryota; Viridiplantae; Streptophyta; Magnoliopsida; Poales; Bromeliaceae. The record is from RNAcentral.